This 450-nucleotide ribosomal RNA is filed under the name uncultured bacterium. Its description in RNAcentral is "bacterial SSU rRNA". It matches the Rfam family "Bacterial small subunit ribosomal RNA", at positions 354 to 796 of the family's 1533-position model. The record is from RNAcentral.
GUGGGGAAUAUUGCGCAAUGGGCGAAAGCCUGACGCAGCAACGCCGCGUGAGUGAUGAAGGCCUUCGGGUCGUAAAGCUCUGUCGCAGGGAACGAAAGCCACCGUUUUAAUAGAGCGGUGGUAUGACGGUACUCUGCAAGAAAGCCCCGGCCAACUCCGUGCCAGCAGCCGCGGUAAGACGGAGGGGGCGAGCGUUGUUCGGAAUUACUGGGCGUAAAGGGCGCGUAGGCGGUCAUGCAAGUCGGGGGUGAAAGCCCACGGCUCAACCGUGGAAUUGCCUUCGAAACUGCGUGACUUGAGUACGGAAGAGGAGAGCGGAAUUCCCAGUGUAGCGGUGAAAUGCGUAGAUAUUGGGAGGAACACCGGUGGCGAAGGCGGCUCUCUGGUCCGAAACUGACGCUGAGGCGCGAAAGCCAGGGGAGCAAACGGGAUUAGAAACCCGGGUAGUCC